RNAcentral lists this ribosomal RNA (183 nucleotides) under Amara alpina (arctic-alpine ground beetle). Its description in RNAcentral is "partial 28S ribosomal RNA". The record is from RNAcentral. Lineage: Eukaryota; Metazoa; Arthropoda; Insecta; Coleoptera; Carabidae.
GUGCGCAAGUCAUUGGGACUAUUUAAGAAACCUAAAGGCGUAAUGAAAGUAAAUGUUUGUUGAAUUUUCGUAAUUCACAAAUUAAGGGAAGAUGGCUGACGGAAUUUAUGUUGGCUCGCAUUCCCGGGGCGUCGCGUACUCAUUGCGAGUUGCGGCGCACCAAGAGCGUACACGCUGGGACCC